AUUUAUAAUCUGGCACCUUCGGUGUCCGAGUUGUAAUCUCUAGAAAUGUUUUCCGCGCUGGACCGCACACAAGUCUGUUGGAAUACAGCGGCAUAGUGGUGAGACCCCCGUAUAUGGUGCGGACGCCCAGCGCUUUGUGAUACAUUUUCGAAGAGUCGAGUUGUUUGGGAAUGCAGCUCAAAUUGGGUGGUAAAUUCCAUCUAAAGCUAAAUAUUGGCGAGAGACCGAUAGCGAACAAGUACCGUGAGGGAAAGAUGAAAAGCACUUUGGAAAGAGAGUUAACAGUACGUGAAAUUGUUGGAAGGGAAACGCUUGAAGUCAGACUUGCUUGCCGAGCAAUCGGUUUGCAGGCCAGCAUCAGUUUUCCGGGAUGGAUAAUGGUAGAGAGAAGGUAGCAGUUUCGGCUGUGUUAUAGCUCUCUGCUGGAUACAUCUUGGGGGACUGAGGAACGCAGUGUGCCUUUGGCGGGGGUUUCGACCUCUUCACACUUAGGAUGCUGGUGGAAUGGCUUUAAACGACCCGUCUUGAAACACGGACCAAGGAGUCUAACAUGCUUGCGAGUAUUUGGGUGUCAAACCCGGAUGCGUAAUGAAAGUGAAUGGAGGUGGGAACCGCAAGGUGCACCAUCGACCGAUCUGGAUUUUUAAUGAUGGAUUUGAGUAAGAGCACGUAUGUUGGGACCCGAAAGAUGGUGAACUAUGCCUGAAUAGGGCGAAGCCAGAGGAAACUCUGGUGGAGGCUCGUAGCGGUUCUGACGUGCAAAUCGAUCGUCAAAUUUGG
Molecule: ribosomal RNA, 780 nt
Filed under: Rhodotorula mucilaginosa
Lineage: Eukaryota; Fungi; Basidiomycota; Microbotryomycetes; Sporidiobolales; Sporidiobolaceae
Description: partial large subunit ribosomal RNA
Rfam family: Eukaryotic large subunit ribosomal RNA
Source: RNAcentral